RNAcentral lists this non-coding RNA (28 nucleotides) under Mus musculus (house mouse). The record is from RNAcentral. Lineage: Eukaryota; Metazoa; Chordata; Mammalia; Rodentia; Muridae.
UGGUGUUCCUGUCAGGUUAUCGUGCUGC